GGAUUAGAUACCCUGGUAGUCCUAGCCGUAAACGAUGGGCACUGGGUAGGGGGGGUGUCAAUUCCCUCCUUGCCGAAGCUAAUGUGAUAAGUGCCCCGCCUGGGGAGUACGGUCGCAAGACUAAAACUCAAAGGAAUUGACGGGGGCUCACACAAGCGGUGGAGCAUGUGGUUUAAUUCGAAACAACGCGAAGAACCUUACCCGGGUUUGAAAUCCUUGGAUGCCUCCUGUGAAAGCAGGUCGGGUUGCCCUUCGGGGUGAAACUUGGACAGGUGUUGCAUGGCUGUCGUCAGCUCGUGCCG
Molecule: ribosomal RNA, 302 nt
Filed under: uncultured bacterium
Lineage: Bacteria
Description: bacterial SSU rRNA
Rfam family: Bacterial small subunit ribosomal RNA
Source: RNAcentral